UAUCUGACUGUAUGCAGAACGUUCCGCCGAGCGCGUGCUCUGAGCACAUGGAAAGGGGGUCGAGAUUUAGCGGCUAUAUGAAGUGCAAGAAUACAGCAAUAACUUAACCCUCAAAAAAGGAAUAUACUUUACCAUCACGCAUGACAAAGGAACAUGGGGUGCUGGUGACUGAGGCAGCAGCCACAACAGCCUAUUGCUCCACGGCUGUCAGUAUCAGCUCUUCAAGUCGUCAGCACAGCGGUCCACGCAGUCCAGAGAGAGCAGAGAAGAGUGAUCCAUCGCAAACAGGGAUUAUGGAGCACCACACACAGAGAACCAGCAGUUGCAGCACUAUACCACCGUUGGGAACAUUUGAGCAACAUUAAGGGAACAUUAUCAUAUCGGCAUCACUGUGAGAGCAGCAAGCGAAUAGUGGAGGGUGAUUUGAAGACAGAGGUGAGUUGGUGGAUACCUGAAUUCCUCCUACAUGAGUUUCAGCAGGUGUGAGGCCGACGGUCAUCUUCUAACAGCUGAAGAGAGUGUGAGCGAGCGUGGGCCCAAAAGGAGGACAAAGAGAGCUGUCACCCAUCCACAGCUACUGUGUGACCUGCUAUUCUGUUAUUGUUGCAUGCGAAAUGUGCAUGCACAAAGGCCAUAAAGGCCAAAUUACCCAUUUAUUGGCCAAUUGUUCCGUUCUCAUAAAGCUAAUGUAACUAGCAAUUAUAGGAGUGUGUUUCAUGACGUGGAAUAUUAAACAGAAUUAACUAUCCCAAUAAAAGUCAAUACCUGUCAUACCUGUUUUUUUUUUCAGAUUCAUCUGAGGGCAUGGGAAAUUCAGAUUUUUAAAUGUAUAAUUCACUCAUUUAUUGAUUAAUUAUAAUUGUACAUGCUGUACAUUUGCAUUUUAUAUUUGCUGUUUAUAAGAUAUAUGAAUCUUUCUAUUUAUAAUGAUAAGUUAUAUAUUCUCUCUGAGCUGUACAUUCACAUUGAAAGGCGUUUUAUGAACAGUAGCCUACAAU
Molecule: long non-coding RNA, 998 nt
Organism: Engraulis encrasicolus (European anchovy)
Lineage: Eukaryota; Metazoa; Chordata; Actinopteri; Clupeiformes; Engraulidae
Exons: 4
Source: RefSeq, a predicted model, not a curated record